Long non-coding RNA from Fopius arisanus, 591 nucleotides. RefSeq lists it as uncharacterized. The transcript has 4 exons. The record is from RefSeq and is a predicted model, not a curated record. NCBI's taxonomy places the organism in Eukaryota, Metazoa, Arthropoda, Insecta, Hymenoptera, Braconidae.
GAUCCUGAAACUUCAGUUCGAGUCACAAGAUGGCGGGACAAGUGCAGAAACAUAGGGUUUGAGGGUUAAAUUUCCACCAGGAAUUUCAGUAGUUGACAUCUCCAGAUAUUUCGCCGACAAGGUGACCUUCAGAUAUUUAACUGACAAGGUACGAUGAUUAGGAUAGUAAUUUACUGGAUUUUACGUCGUUAGUACAUGAUUGUAAUAUGGAAAUUUUGGUUUGUACAUUCACUCAUUAAUUGAUAAUAAUUAAUCAAUUUCUAUAUGAUGCCGGUCUACAUGAAAUUAACGGGUCAAUUGAAAAGGAGAGGUUGGUAAUUCGAUAGGAAAUGUCGAGAAUCGAUUGUUCCUGUUCGUUAUUGGCCAUCACAUUCAAUACUGCGCAUGCAUGCACACACUGCACUUAAUUGCUUUUGAGAUCAAUGAUGCAACAUUGAGAUGAUGUAUCAAAUGAGUUUUCAUUGAAUAUAACUGAGGUGAUGAUAGAUAGCGAAAUUUUCAUACAAGAUUUUUUAUUCAGAUAUUCGUGAAAAGCGUCUGAAUUUUUAUGAUGUCCAUUUAAGCUCGGACGUCAAUUUUACCCGAGCCGCG